This is a non-coding RNA of Drosophila melanogaster (fruit fly), 900 nucleotides long. The record is from Ensembl. Lineage: Eukaryota; Metazoa; Arthropoda; Insecta; Diptera; Drosophilidae.
AUAAUACUUUAGUGUGAUGAUUUUCAUUUACAAUAGCCACUAAGCAUCCCAUCCUGCGCAUUGAAACGUUGUGGGAAUCUGAUGGGCUGGGAUCAUUCAUCACGCCAUGCAGCGGAUGUAGCAGGAUAUGCCGCAGGAUAUGACGCUGCAUAAAGUGUCCAGUGAUCGGCGAUCGUUACACAAACCGCAUCCUGCGCAGUUACUUUUUAUGGGACAAAACCCCAUUGUGUGGAUGCUACCAAAUGUCCUGGAAAUCGUAACGAAUCCACGCAUUCCGACCAAGGUAUCCCCGCAGCUGUCCGGCGGGAUCGUGUGAUCCUAUCGCCCUGCCAUCGCCGGCACCACAAAGUUCGCGCCCAUGUCGCGGCCGCUGUAAUCCUUUGACUGUGCCACAAAGCCAAAACAAACAUCGCGCCAUCGCGCCAUCCGUCGUCCGUCCGGUGAACCGAGUGACCUCUUCAUUACCUCACGGCGACAAUCUUGGCGGGUCACCGUGGCAAAUGCAAAUAAAAGGGGCGGUUCAGCGGGUCGGAAAAUUAUGCAACGCGACAGAAGGAUGGCAGGAUUAGCGCACAGUCCUGAUUCCUCAUACCCGAUAGCCGGUAUAGCCUGAUUGCCAAUCCCAACCCGAUUCCCAUAAGCCAAACGUCCAAACUGACCCCUGUGCUCUUGUUUUUAUUGCUUCGUGUUGGACAAUUGAUUAUGUGACGUAAAUUUGGUGUAAACAGCUUUGGUCAGCUUGGCUACCUAAACGGAUGCAGAAUCUGGAAUGCAAUAGAGUUGUCAGUGGAUAUAAAUCAGUGCCACGUCGCCGUGAUAUAUAGCCCAUACAUAAUAGAUAAUACAUAAUGCAUAAUGCAUAAUGCUAAUCCAUAAUAAUUACAAUCAUGUUUACAAAGC